Molecule: long non-coding RNA, 182 nt
Filed under: Cavia porcellus (domestic guinea pig)
Lineage: Eukaryota; Metazoa; Chordata; Mammalia; Rodentia; Caviidae
Description: lncRNA (ENSCPOG00000033001.1)
Source: RNAcentral
CCCGGGGGCGGGGCGCAGCGAAGCGGGCUCCAGCUGUCUGCUCCUGCGGGUGGCAGGGCUGAGGGCACAGCCGGAGAGCGGCGCGCCGCGGACUCCCGGGCAGCCCGGAAAGGAACCUGCUUAUCAGAGAGUCACUGAUCCUGCUCAUCUAGAGAACUGUUCUCAGGAUUUACAGACAAGAG